This 22-nucleotide microRNA is filed under the name Ornithorhynchus anatinus (platypus). RNAcentral's name for it is "Oan-Novel-7_3p (mature (co-guide))". Lineage: Eukaryota; Metazoa; Chordata; Mammalia; Monotremata; Ornithorhynchidae. The record is from RNAcentral.
UUCUGGUGUGUAUAUCCAUAGA